RNAcentral lists this ribosomal RNA (497 nucleotides) under uncultured bacterium. RNAcentral describes it as "partial 16S ribosomal RNA". It matches the Rfam family "Bacterial small subunit ribosomal RNA", at positions 28 to 507 of the family's 1533-position model. The record is from RNAcentral.
GACGAACGCUGGCGGCGUGCCUAAUACAUGCAAGUUGAGCGCUGAAGGUUGGUACUUGUACCGACUGGAUGAGCAGCGAACGGGUGAGUAACGCGUGGGGAAUCUGCCUUUGAGCGGGGGACAACAUUUGGAAACGAAUGCUAAUACCGCAUAAAAACUUUAAACACAAGUUUUAAGUUUGAAAGAUGCAAUUGCAUCACUCAAAGAUGAUCCCGCGUUGUAUUAGCUAGUUGGUGAGGUAAAGGCUCACCAAGGCGAUGAUACAUAGCCGACCUGAGAGGGUGAUCUGCCACAUUGGGACUGAGACACGGCCCAAACUCCUACGGGAGGCAGCAGUAGGGAAUCUUCGGCAAUGGACGAAAGUCUGACCGAGCAACGCCGCGUGAGUGAAGAAGGUUUUCGGAUCGUAAAACUCUGUUGGUAGAGAAGAACGUUGGUGAGAGUGGAAAGCUCAUCAAGUGACGGUAACUACCCAGAAAGGGACGGCUAACUACGUG